GAGGAAUAUUGGUCAAUGGACGUAAGUCUGUACCAGCCAAGUAGCGUGCAGGAUGACGGCCCUAUGGGUUGUAAACUGCUUUUAUGUGGGAAUAAAGUGGCGCACGUGUGCGCCAUUGCAUGUACCUCAUGAAUAAGGACCGGCUAAUUCCGUGCCAGCAGCCGCGGUAAUACGGAAGGUCCGGGCGUUAUCCGGAUUUAUUGGGUUUAAAGGGAGUGUAGGCGGUCUGUUAAGCGUGUUGUGAAAUUUAGGUGCUCAACAUUUAACUUGCAGCGCGAACUGUCAGACUUGAGUACACGCAGCGCAGGCGGAAUUCAUGGUGUAGCGGUGAAAUGCUUAGAUAUCAUGAGGAACUCCGAUCGCGAAGGCAGCCUGCGGGAGUGUUACUGACGCUUAAGCUCGAAGGUGCGGGUAUCGAACAGGAUUAGAUACCCUGGUAGUCCGCACUGUAAACGAUGGAUGCCCGCCGUUGGCGCCCUGCGCCUGCGGCCAAGCGAAAGCAUUAAGCAUCCCACCUGGGGAGUACGCCGGCAACGGUG
This 539-nucleotide ribosomal RNA is filed under the name uncultured bacterium. RNAcentral describes it as "bacterial SSU rRNA". It matches the Rfam family "Bacterial small subunit ribosomal RNA", at positions 356 to 896 of the family's 1533-position model. The record is from RNAcentral.